CCUCUCUCAGGGUCGGACAUGGAGAGUUUCCAGUACUCUAUCAGCCUCGACUAUGGGAGGGAGAGUCAAGCAGAGACCCAUCCUUUCCAUUCCUAGCUUUGGCAGUGGCUAGCGAAUGGAAGGCAAUCUGCUACAAGU
Molecule: small nucleolar RNA, 138 nt
Organism: Tachyglossus aculeatus (Australian echidna)
Lineage: Eukaryota; Metazoa; Chordata; Mammalia; Monotremata; Tachyglossidae
Source: RefSeq, a predicted model, not a curated record